Non-coding RNA from Streptococcus suis 05HAS68, 99 nucleotides. NCBI's taxonomy places the organism in Bacteria, Bacillati, Bacillota, Bacilli, Lactobacillales, Streptococcaceae. The record is from Rfam.
GAAAUAAAAGAUGUUAUCGCUUUAAGGCGAGCAGGAACCUAUUUAAAUGAAUCGAUACGAUAUAUGUCGAUUUCUUUUAAGUAGGUUCUUUUAUUUUAA